CCUACGGGAGGCAGCAGUGAGGAAUAUUGGUCAAUGGACGAGAGUCUGAACCAGCCAAGUAGCGUGAAGGAUGACUGCCCUAUGGGUUGUAAACUUCUUUUAUAUGGGAAUAAAAUGUUCCACGUGUGGGAUUUUGUAUGUACCAUAUGAAUAAGGAUCGGCUAACUCCGUGCCAGCAGCCGCGGUAAUACGGAGGAUCCGAGCUUUAUCCGGAUUUAUUGGGUUUAAAGGGAGCGUAGGUGGAUUGUUAAGUCAGUUGUGAAAGUUUGCGGCUCAACCGUAAAAUUGCAGUUGAAACUGGCAGGCUUGAGUACAGUAGAGGUGGGCGGAAUUCGUGGUGUAGCGGUGAAAUGCUGAGAUAUCACGAAGAACUCCGAUUGCGAAGGCAGCUCACUGGACUGCAACUGACACUGAGGCUCGAAAGUGUGGGUAUCAAACAGGAUUAGAUACCCCAGUAGUC
RNAcentral lists this ribosomal RNA (460 nucleotides) under uncultured bacterium. RNAcentral describes it as "partial 16S ribosomal RNA". It matches the Rfam family "Bacterial small subunit ribosomal RNA", at positions 338 to 795 of the family's 1533-position model. The record is from RNAcentral.